RNAcentral lists this ribosomal RNA (390 nucleotides) under uncultured bacterium. RNAcentral's name for it is "bacterial SSU rRNA". It matches the Rfam family "Bacterial small subunit ribosomal RNA", at positions 30 to 422 of the family's 1533-position model. The record is from RNAcentral.
AUUGGACGCUGGCGGCAUGCCUUACACAUGCAAGUCGAACGGCAGCGGACCUUCGGGUGCCGGCGAGUGGCGAACGGGUGAGUAAUAUAUCGGAACGUACCUUUCAGUGGGGGAUAACGUAGCGAAAGUUACGCUAAUACCGCAUAUUCUGUGAGCAGGAAAGCAGGGGAUCGCAAGACCUUGCGCUGAUUGAGCGGCCGAUAUCAGAUUAGCUAGUUGGUGAGGUAAAGGCUCACCAAGGCGACGAUCUGUAGCGGGUCUGAGAGGAUGAUCCGCCACACUGGAACUGAGACACGGUCCAGACUCCUACGGGAGGCAGCAGUGGGGAAUUUUGGACAAUGGGCGCAAGCCUGAUCCAGCCAUGCCGCGUGAGUGAAGAAGGCCUCGGUG